Molecule: ribosomal RNA, 459 nt
Filed under: uncultured bacterium
Lineage: Bacteria
Description: partial 16S ribosomal RNA
Rfam family: Bacterial small subunit ribosomal RNA
Source: RNAcentral
CCUACGGGAGGCAGCAGUGAGGAAUAUUGGUCAAUGGACGAGAGUCUGAACCAGCCAAGUAGCGUGAAGGAUGACUGCCCUAUGGGUUGUAAACUUCUUUUAUAUGGGAAUAAAAUGUUCCACGUGUGGGAUUUUGUAUGUACUUUAUGAAUAAGGAUCGGCUAACUCCGUGCCAGCAGCCGCGGUAAUACGGAGGAUCCGAGCGUUAUCCGGAUUUAUUGGGUUUAAAGGGAGCGUAGAUGGGUUGUUAAGUCAGUUGUGAAAGUUUGCGGCUCAACCCCGUCCGGCCGUUGAAACUGGGGGCCGUGAGUGGGCGAGAAGAAGGCGGAAUGCGUGGUGUAGCGGUGAAAUGCAUAGAUAUCACGCAGAACCCCGAUUGCGAAGGCAGCCUUCCGGCGCCCUACUGACGCUGAGGCACGAAAGUGCGGGGAUCGAACAGGAUUAGAUACCCGGGUAGUC